This 443-nucleotide ribosomal RNA is filed under the name uncultured bacterium. RNAcentral describes it as "partial 16S ribosomal RNA". It matches the Rfam family "Bacterial small subunit ribosomal RNA", at positions 338 to 795 of the family's 1533-position model. The record is from RNAcentral.
CCUACGGGUGGCAGCAGUGGGGAAUAUUGGGCAAUGGGCGCAAGCCUGACCCAGCAACGCCGCGUGAAGGAAGAAGGCUUUCGGGUUGUAAACUUCUUUUCUGAGGGACGAAGAAAGUGACGGUACCUCAGGAAUAAGCCACGGCUAAAUACGUCCCAGCCGCCGCGGUAAUACGUAGGUGGCAAGCGUUAUCCGGAUUUAUUGGGUGUAAAGGGCGUGUAGGCGGGAAAGCAAGUGAGAUGUGAAAACUCAGGGCUCAACCCUGAGCCUGCACUUGAAACUGUUUUUCUUGAGUGCUGGAGAGGCAAGCGGAAUUCCGGGUGUAGCGGUGAAAUGCGUAGAUAUACGGAGGAACACCAGUGGCGAAGGCGGAGUGUUGGACAGUAACUGACGCUGAGGCGCGAAAGCGUGGGGAGCAAACAGGAUUAGAUACCCGAGUAGUC